RNAcentral lists this small RNA (409 nucleotides) under Vigna angularis var. angularis. Its description in RNAcentral is "Non-protein coding transcript". The record is from RNAcentral. Lineage: Eukaryota; Viridiplantae; Streptophyta; Magnoliopsida; Fabales; Fabaceae.
GGAUUAAAAGAGAUUUUUGGAAUAGGGGAAUAAGGGAGGGCAACAGAGGUGAGUUUCUUUUUAAAACAUAAAAUACAAAAACCUUACGUGAACUGAGAGACGAGAGAGGAUGGACUGUUUGAAAAGAAGAAGAGGAACUUCUAGCUAGUAGCAGGACGUGAGUGAAAGAUGGUAGGUUUUGCUCUGAAAAAUUAGAUCAAGAUAGUAGCUUUGGCCAAGCUAUGUUGUAGCCAUGAGAGUUUCAUGAUUUUAUGCUUGGAGAGUGGCUUAUGAGCAGAACCCCUGACUUUUAUAGUUAUAUCCUUCCUUGUGGCUUUGUAUCUUGUUUUUAAAUUGUAAAAAGAAAAUGUUUUCAAGUUCUGUAUAGAAAAAUGAAGAAGUGUUUUAUUUUGGUUUUGGUACAUUUAUU